AUUUUUUAAGGUCUUAACCCAAUGCAGGGUUGCGGGGGAGCUGAAGUCUUUUCUGACAAGCAGUGGAAACACCUUGGAUAGGAUGCCAGCCCAUCGCAGAGCGGAAUUAUAUUCAUUUCUCCAACAUGCUCAUUUUUAGUUUUAAAAGUCAGGCCCACUCAAUGAGAUCUCGAUGGAAAUGGAAACCACAGGAGCUCAGACUGCUCUCUAGGACGAAGGGCAGAGAAAUCUGUGUGCACCCAAUACCGAAAAUCCUCCAGAAUGAACAAAAAAACUAUACUUUAAGGAGGCCUGUGGGAAGGAAGACAACUAAAUAAAUCCUCCCAAAACAUACUGUAUUGGUAAGUAAAUCCACCACUAAAAGCGGUUUGUGCUCCGUAGCCUUCAAAGGUAGCUUUGGGGUAUGAUGUGCUGCGUAUAUGG
RNAcentral lists this long non-coding RNA (423 nucleotides) under Lepisosteus oculatus (spotted gar). RNAcentral's name for it is "lncRNA (ENSLOCG00000021630.1)". The record is from RNAcentral. Lineage: Eukaryota; Metazoa; Chordata; Actinopteri; Semionotiformes; Lepisosteidae.